This 442-nucleotide ribosomal RNA is filed under the name uncultured bacterium. Its description in RNAcentral is "partial 16S ribosomal RNA". It matches the Rfam family "Bacterial small subunit ribosomal RNA", at positions 338 to 795 of the family's 1533-position model. The record is from RNAcentral.
CCUACGGGGGGCAGCAGUAGGGAAUCUUUCACAAUGGGCGAAAGCCUGAUGGAGCAACGCCGCGUGCAGGAUGAAGGCCUUCGGGUUGUAAACUGCUUUUAUAAGCGAGAAAUAUGAUGGUAACUUAUGAAUAAGGAUCGACUAACUACGUGCCAGCAGCCGCGGUCAUACGUAGGAUCCGAGCAUUAUCCGGAGUGACUGGGUGUAAAGAGUUGCGUAGGUGGCAUAAUAAGUAGCUAGUGAAAUCUGGUGGCUCAACCAUUCAGACUAUUAGCUAAACUGUUAAGCUCGAGACCGUUAGGGGUAACUGGAAUUUCUAGUGUAGGAGUGAAAUCCGUAGAUAUUAGAAGGAACACCAAUAGCGUAGGCAGGUUGCUGGGACGGUUCUGACACUAAGGCACGAAAGCGUAGGGAGCAAACGGGAUUAGAUACCCGUGUAGUC